Long non-coding RNA from Triticum aestivum (bread wheat), 940 nucleotides. RefSeq lists it as uncharacterized. The transcript is spliced from 3 exons. NCBI's taxonomy places the organism in Eukaryota, Viridiplantae, Streptophyta, Magnoliopsida, Poales, Poaceae. The record is from RefSeq and is a predicted model, not a curated record.
UACUGUAGCUAACACUGUAUUUAUCUUAUGUAGCAGGUACUGUACACAAUUACUAUUGAUAUAAAUAAAUUUAAAUUGUUUUUAUUGCAUCAUAAUUUUAUUUGUGUGUAACUUUUGUAAAUGUAUAAAGUAGAUUUGUAAUUUGCAAAUUAAAUCGUAUGAAAGUGAAGAAGAAUUGUAGCUGGUGACUCCACUUCCUCCUCCGACGGGCGACGACGAUGACCGGAAACCCAAUUCUGCAACCCCGCCUCAAUCCCCUCCGGUUUGAUGGUACUUCUUUCUGCGAAUGUGCGGGGCAAGGUCAGAUCGACUCUCGCGGUGGAAAUCUGGUGCAGGGCGCCGCCGCAGUGCCGUUCGGAAUCAUAGCACUGCUGCGCUGCCAUGGGCGUCCACCUGGUUCCAAAGACCGAGCCCGUCGUCUCUGUGAAAUGGCUGCACGCCAACCUCAGCACACUGAUGUGAAGGUAGCAUAUACCUGGUGCUGAAUUGCGGAUGCUUCGUGCUUAUGGACAUGACAGUAUGGGUUUAGGAUGAAGGUUUGCCCCCAAUGUUGUGCUUCUGGGAAUGACGUGGAAUCGAGUGCCUCUAGUGAUGCCAUCUUAAAAGCUAGUGCUGCUAGCGAGCAAUUAAUAAAAUUUAUCAGGACAGUCAACAAAGGCAAAUCAGUACAGGGCUGAAGAGCUUUCCUACGUCUUCCACGAUUUGAAUGAAACUAAUCCUUUACUUGAUUCACUGGAGAAGUUCAAGCAUCCAGAUGUACAAAAACUUGCUUUCAAGCUGCACUUCUGUAUUCUCCAAAAAUUAGAAAGCUGCUCCUAUGUAGAAGAUGAUUUUUUUUUUUUGCGAAGAUGUUUUUUCUUGUUGCCAGUUAUUGUAACUUGUCUAUGACUCUGCUUGUACGCUUCUUGGAUUCGUCACCCACAUUGUCGGCUGUUUGCCG